GAUGGACGCUAGCUACAGGCUUAACACAUGCAAGUCGAGGGGUAACGAGAGGAAAGCUUGCUUUCCUUGUCGACGACCGGCGCACGGGUGAGUAACGCGUAUCCAACCUGCCCCCAACUAGGGAAUAACCUUGCGAAAGUAAGACUAAUACCCUAUAAUUUCCUCAGAUGUCAUCUGACGAGGAAUAAAGAUUUAUCGGUUGUGGAUGGGGAUGCGUCUGAUUGGCUUGUUGGCGGGGUAACGGCCCACCAAGGCAACGAUCAGUAGGGGUUCUGAGAGGAAGGUCCCCCACAUUGGAACUGAGACACGGUCCAAACUCCUACGGGAGGCAGCAGUGAGGAAUAUUGGUCAAUGGGCGGAAGCCUGAACCAGCCAAGUAGCGUGCAGGAUGACGGCCCUAUGGGUUGUAAACUGCUUUUAUACAGGAAUAAAGUUAGCCACGUGUGGUUAUUUGUAGGUACUGUAUGAAUAAGGACCGGCUAAUUCCGUGCCAGCAGCCGCAGUAA
RNAcentral lists this ribosomal RNA (506 nucleotides) under uncultured bacterium. RNAcentral's name for it is "partial 16S ribosomal RNA". It matches the Rfam family "Bacterial small subunit ribosomal RNA", at positions 28 to 523 of the family's 1533-position model. The record is from RNAcentral.